UACGUAGGGUGCAAGCGUUAAUCGGAAUUACUGGGCGUAAAGCGUGCGCAGGCGGUUUUGUAAGUCUGAUGUGAAAUCCCCGGGCUCAACCUGGGAAUUGCGUUGGAGACUGCAAGGCUUGAAUCUGGCAGAGGGGGGUAGAAUUCCACGUGUAGCAGUGAAAUGCGUAGAGAUGUGGAGGAACACCGAUGGCGAAGGCAGCCCCCUGGGUCAAGAUUGACGCUCAUGCACGAAAGCGUGGGGAGCGAACAGG
RNAcentral lists this ribosomal RNA (253 nucleotides) under uncultured bacterium. RNAcentral describes it as "partial 16S ribosomal RNA". It matches the Rfam family "Bacterial small subunit ribosomal RNA", at positions 524 to 776 of the family's 1533-position model. The record is from RNAcentral.